CAGCGCCACAAGUGGCGAUCACGUUUAUUGGGCCUAAAGCGUCCGUAGCCGGUUUGAUAAAUCUUUUGUGAAAUUGUUAGGCUCAACUUAACAACGUGCAGAAGACACUGUCAAGCUAGGAACCGGGAAGAGUCAGAAGUAUUAUUGGGGUAGCGGUAAAAUGCUAUAAUCCUUUUAAGACUACCGAUGGCGAAGGCAUCUGACUAGAACGGCUUCGACGGUGAGGGACGAAAGCCAGGGGAGCAAACCGGAUUAGAUACCCGAGUAGUCC
This 271-nucleotide ribosomal RNA is filed under the name uncultured archaeon. RNAcentral describes it as "partial 16S ribosomal RNA". It matches the Rfam family "Archaeal small subunit ribosomal RNA", at positions 477 to 747 of the family's 1478-position model. The record is from RNAcentral.